GGGGAUUUAGCUCAGUGGUUAGAGCGCUUGCCUAGGAAGCACAAGGGCCUGGGUUCAGUCCCCAGCUCCG
RNAcentral lists this transfer RNA (70 nucleotides) under Rattus norvegicus (Norway rat). It matches the Rfam family "tRNA". From Rfam's summary of the family: Transfer RNA (tRNA) molecules are approximately 80 nucleotides in length. Their secondary structure includes four short double-helical elements and three loops (D, anti-codon, and T loops). The record is from Rfam by way of RNAcentral. Lineage: Eukaryota; Metazoa; Chordata; Mammalia; Rodentia; Muridae.